This 1477-nucleotide ribosomal RNA is filed under the name metagenome. RNAcentral describes it as "bacterial LSU rRNA". It matches the Rfam family "Bacterial large subunit ribosomal RNA", at positions 687 to 2125 of the family's 2925-position model. The record is from RNAcentral.
AUAGGGCGACUUUGUUGUUUGGAUUAGACCCGAAACCGGGUGAGCUACCCAUGGCCAGGUUGAAGCCAAGAUAAUAUCUUGGUGAAGGACCGAACCCGUGUAAAGUGCAAAUUGCUGGGAUGAGUUGUGGGUAGAGGUAAAAUGCCAAUCGAACCCGGAGAUAGCUGGUUCUCUCCGAAAUGUAUUUAGGUACAGCGUUAAAUUAGUCUUAGGGAGGUAGAGCACUGGAUGGAUAAGGGGGCGUAAGCCUACCAAGUUCAACCAAACUCCGAAUGCCUUAAGAUGAUGUUUAGCAGUGAGACCGUGGGGGAUAAGCUCCAUUGUCAAAAGGGAAACAGCCCAGAUCACAAGCUAAGGUCCCUAAGUCUGAACUAAGUGGGAAAGGAAGUUAGAAUCCACAAACAGCCAGGAGGUUGGCUUAGAAGCAGCCACCCUUUAAAGAAAGCGUAAUAGCUCACUGGUCGAGGUUUUUAGCGCCUAAAAUGUAACGGGGCUAAAGUUCAGCACCGAAGCUGUGAGUUUUCUAUUUUAAUAGAAAGCGGUAGGAGAGCGUUGUCAGUGCACUGAAGCUAAAAUGUGAGUUUUGGUGGAGCGCUGAGAAGUGAGAAUGCAGGCAUGAGUAGCGACAAUCGUGGUGAGAAUCCACGACACCGGAAGCCCAAGGUUUCCUACGCAAUGUUGAUCAUCGUAGGGUUAGUCGGGCCUAAGUGAAAGCGUACAGCGAACACGAUGGAUAACGGGUCAAAAUUCCCGUACCAUUUGUAUUGUGUUUUAACGCAAAGGGGGGACGCAAGAAGGUAAGUAAAGCAUACCUAAUGGACAUGGUGUGUUUGUUUUUGUAGAUGAUGACCAGAUAGGUAAAUCCGUCUGGUAUUUUAGUUGAGGAAAACAAAAACUCGAGAGCUUAGCUCAAAGGAAUUUUGCUGAUCCUAUGUUGCCAAGAAAAUCCUCGUUGUAAAUAAUAUAAAUGACCGUACCGCAAACCGACACAGGUAGGCAGGGAUAAAAGUCCCAAGGUGAACGAAAGAACCUUCGUUAAGGAACUCGACAGAUUGACCCCGUAACUUAGGGAGAAGGGGUGCCUAUUAUUUGAUACUGAUUUACUUAGUAAAGGGUAAUAGGCCGCAGUGAAUCGGUCCAAGCGACUGUUUAUCAAAAACAUAGGUCUAUGCUAAACCGAAAGGUGAUGUAUAUGGGCUGACGCCUGCCCAGUGCCGGAAGGUUAAGAGGAGAGGUUAGGANUNAUCCAAAGCUUUGAAUUGAAAGCCCCCGCGGUGAACGGCGGCCGUAACUAUAACGGUCCUAAGGUAGCGAAAUCCCUUGUCAGGUAAGUUCUGACCCGCACGAAUGGCGUAACGACUUGGACAUUGUCUCAACGAAGGACUCGGUGAAAUUGCAGGACCAGUGAAGAUGCUGGUUACCUACGACAGGACAAAAAGACCCCGUGGAGCUUUACUGCAGCUUGGCAGUGAUUUAG